This 531-nucleotide ribosomal RNA is filed under the name uncultured bacterium. RNAcentral describes it as "bacterial SSU rRNA". It matches the Rfam family "Bacterial small subunit ribosomal RNA", at positions 979 to 1509 of the family's 1533-position model. The record is from RNAcentral.
CCUUGACAUACUAAGAACUUUCCAGAGAUGGAUUGGUGCCUUCGGGAACUUAGAUACAGGUGCUGCAUGGCUGUCGUCAGCUCGUGUCGUGAGAUGUUGGGUUAAGUCCCGNAACGAGCGCAACCCUUUUCCUUAUUUGCCAGCGGGUCAUGCCGGGAACUUUAAGGAUACUGCCAGUGACAAACUGGAGGAAGGCGGGGACGACGUCAAGUCAUCAUGGCCCUUACGGCCAGGGCUACACACGUGCUACAAUGGUCGGUACAAAGGGUUGCUACCUCGCGAGAGGAUGCUAAUCUCAAAAAGCCAAUCGUAGUCCGGAUCGCAGUCUGCAACUCGACUGCGUGAAGUCGGAAUCGCUAGUAAUCGCGGAUCAGAAUGCCGCGGUGAAUACGUUCCCGGGCCUUGUACACACCGCCCGUCACACCAUGGGAGUUUGUUGCACCAGAAGUAGGUAGUCUAACCGCAAGGAGGACGCUUACCACGGUGUGGCCGAUGACUGGGGUGAAGUCGUAACAAGGUAAGCGUAGAUGA